AACGCGAAGAACCUUACCUGGGUUUGACAUCCACUGACAGCCGUAGAGAUACGGUUUCCUCUUCGGAGGCAGUGAGACAGGUGCUGCAUGGCUGUCGUCAGCUCGUAUCGUGAGAUGUCGGGUUAAGUCCCUUAACGAGCGCAACCCUUAUCCCUAGUUGCCAUCAUUCAGUUGGGCACUCUAUGGAGACUGCCGGUGUUAAACCGGAGGAAGGCGGGGAUGACGUCAAGUCCUCAUGGCCUUUAUAUCCAGGGCUACACACGUGCUACAAUGGCCGGUACAGAGGGUAGCCAACCCGCGAGGGGGAGCUAAUCUCAGAAAGCCGGUCUCAGUUCGGAUUGAAGUCUGCAACUCGACUUCAUGAAGCUGGAAUCGCUAGUAAUCGCGGAUCAGAACGCCGCGGUGAAUACGUUCCCGGGCUUGUACACACCGAGACGUA
Molecule: ribosomal RNA, 439 nt
Filed under: uncultured bacterium
Lineage: Bacteria
Description: bacterial SSU rRNA
Rfam family: Bacterial small subunit ribosomal RNA
Source: RNAcentral